Transfer RNA from Rhizoclosmatium globosum, 83 nucleotides. It matches the Rfam family "tRNA". From Rfam's summary of the family: Transfer RNA (tRNA) molecules are approximately 80 nucleotides in length. Lineage: Eukaryota; Fungi; Chytridiomycota; Chytridiomycetes; Chytridiales; Chytriomycetaceae. The record is from Rfam.
GGGCAGUUGACCGAGCGGUCCAAGGUGUCACGUUAAGGCCGUGAUCUAUUUCGUAGGCGUGGGUUCGAAUCCCACACUGCUCA